GGUUAAGCGACUAAGCGUACACGGUGGAUGCCACGGCAGUCAGAGGCGAUGAAGGGCGUGCUAAUCUGCGAUAAGCGCCGGUAAGGUGAUAUGAACCGUUAUAACCGGCGAUACCCGAAUGGGGAAACCCAGUGUGAUUCGUCACACUAUCAUUAACUGAAUCCAUAGGUUAAUGAGGCGAACCGGGGAACUGAAACAUCUAAGUACCCCGAGGAAAAGAAAUCAACCGAGAUUCCCCAGUAGCGGCGAGCGAACGGGGAGGAGCCCAGAGCCUGAAUCAGCAUGUGUGUUAGUGGAAGCGUCUGGAAAGGCGCGCGAUACAGGGUGACAGCCCCGUACACAAAAGCGCAUGUGCUGUGAGCUCGAUGAGUAGGGCGGGACACGUGGUAUCCUGUCUGAAUAUGGGGGACCAUCCUCCAAGGCUAAAUACUCCUGACUGACCGAUAGUGAACCAGUACCGUGAGGGAAAGGCGAAAAGAACCCCGGCGAGGGGAGUGAAAAAGAACCUGAAACCGUGUACGUACAAGCAGUGGGAGCACAGGUUUACCUGUGUGACUGCGUACCUUUGUAUAAUGGGUCAGCGACUUAUAUUCUGUAGCAAGGUUAACCGUAUAGGGAGCCGUAGGAAACCGAGUCUUAACCGGGCGUUAAGUUGCAGGGUAUAGACCCGAAACCCGGUGAUCUAGCCAUGGGCAGGUUGAAGGUUGGGUAACACUAACUGGAGGACCGAACCGACUAAUGUUGAAAAAUUAGCGGAUGACCUGUGGCUGGGGUGAAAGGCCAAUCAAACCGGGAGAUAGCUGGUUCUCCCCGAAAGCUAUUUAGGUAGCGCCUCGUGAAUUCAUCUCCGGGGUAGAGCACUGUUUCGGCUAGGGGCCAUCCCGGCUUACCAACCCGAUGCAAACUGCGAAUACCGGAGAAUGUUAUCACGGGAGACACACGGCGGGUGCUAACGUCCGUCGUGAAGAGGAAACAACCCAGACCGCCAGCUAAGGUCCCAAAGUCAUGGUUAAGUGGGAAACGAUGUGGGAAGGCCCAGACAGCCGGGAUGUUGGCUUAGAAGCAGCCAUCAUUUAAAGAAAGCGUAAUAGCUCACUGGUCGAGUCGGCCUGCGCGGAAGAUGUAACGGGGCUAAACCAUGCACCGAAGCUGCGGCAGCGACACUGUGUGUUGUUGGGUAGGGAGCGUUCUGUAAGCCUGUGAAGGUGGCCUGUGAGGGUUGCUGGAGGUAUCAGAAGUGCGAAUGCUGACAUAAGUAACGAUAAAGCGGGUGAAAAGCCCGCUCGCCGGAAGACCAAGGGUUCCUGUCCAACGUUAAUCGGGGCAGGGUGAGUCGACCCUAAGGCGAGGCCGAAAGGCGUAGUCGAUGGGAAACGGGUUAAUAUUCCCGUACUUGGUGUUACUGCGAAGGGGGACGGAGAAGGCUAUGUUGGCCGGGCGACGGUUGUCCCGGUUUAAGCGUGUAGGUGUGUGUUCGGUAAAUCCGGUUCACUUUAACACUGAGGCGUGACGACGAGGCACUACGGUGCUGAAGCAACAAAUGCCCUGCUUCGGGAAAAGCCUCUAAGCAUCAGGUAACAUCAAAUCGUACCCCAAACCGACACAGGUGGUCAGGUAGAGAAUACCAAGGCGCUUGAGAGAACUCGGGUGAAGGAACUAGGCAAAAUGGUGCCGUAACUUCGGGAGAAGGCACGCUGACACGUAGGUGAAGUGAUUUACUCAUGGAGCUGAAGUCAGUCGAAGAUACCAGCUGGCUGCAACUGUUUAUUAAAAACACAGCACUGUGCAAACACGAAAGUGGACGUAUACGGUGUGACGCCUGCCCGGUGCCGGAAGGUUAAUUGAUGGGGUCAGCGCAAGCGAAGCUCCUGAUCGAAGCCCCGGUAAACGGCGGCCGUAACUAUAACGGUCCUAAGGUAGCGAAAUUCCUUGUCGGGUAAGUUCCGACCUGCACGAAUGGCGUAAUGAUGGCGGGCUGUCUCCACCCGAGACUCAGUGAAAUUGAACUCGCUGUGAAGAUGCAGUGUACCCGCGGCAAGACGGAAAGACCCCGUGAACCUUUACUAUAGCUUGACACUGAACAUUGAGCCUUGAUGUGUAGGAUAGGUGGGAGGCUUUGAAGCGUGGACGCCAGUCUGCGUGGAGCCAACCUUGAAAUACCACCCUUUAAUGUUUGAUGUUCUAACGUGGACCCGUAAUCCGGGUUGCGGACAGUGUCUGGUGGGUAGUUUGACUGGGGCGGUCUCCUCCUAAAGAGUAACGGAGGAGCACGAAGGUUGGCUAAUCUGGUCGGACAUCAGGAGGUUAGUGCAAUGGCAUAAGCCAGCUUGACUGCGAGCGUGACGGCGCGAGCAGGUGCGAAAGCAGGUCAUAGUGAUCCGGUGGUUCUGAAUGGAAGGGCCAUCGCUCAACGGAUAAAAGGUACUCCGGGGAUAACAGGCUGAUACCGCCCAAGAGUUCAUAUCGACGGCGGUGUUUGGCACCUCGAUGUCGGCUCAUCACAUCCUGGGGCUGAAGUAGGUCCCAAGGGUAUGGCUGUUCGCCAUUUAAAGUGGUACGCGAGCUGGGUUUAGAACGUCGUGAGACAGUUCGGUCCCUAUCUGCCGUGGGCGCUGGAGAACUGAGGGGGCUGCUCCUAGUACGAGAGGACCGGAGUGGACGCAUCACUGGUGUUCGGGUUGUCAUGCCAAUGGCACUGCCCGGUAGCUAAAUGCGGAAGAGAUAAGUGCUGAAAGCAUCUAAGCACGAAACUUGCCCCGAGAUGAGUUCUCCCUGAGACUUAGAGUCUCCUGAAGGAACGUUGAAGACGACGACGUUGAUAGGCCGGGUGUGUAAGCGCAGCGAUGCGUUGAGCUAACCGGUACUAAUGAACCGUGAGGCUUAACCUU
Molecule: ribosomal RNA, 2888 nt
Filed under: Salmonella enterica subsp. enterica serovar Worthington
Lineage: Bacteria; Pseudomonadati; Pseudomonadota; Gammaproteobacteria; Enterobacterales; Enterobacteriaceae
Description: 23S ribosomal RNA
Rfam family: Bacterial large subunit ribosomal RNA
Source: RNAcentral